This 188-nucleotide ribosomal RNA is filed under the name uncultured bacterium. RNAcentral describes it as "partial 16S ribosomal RNA". It matches the Rfam family "Bacterial small subunit ribosomal RNA", at positions 1314 to 1500 of the family's 1533-position model. The record is from RNAcentral.
GCCUACAUGAAGCUGGAGUUACUAGUAAUCGCAGAUCAGAAUGCUGCGGUGAAUGCGUUCCCGGGUCUUGUACACACCGCCCGUCACACCACGGAAGUUGGGGCGCCCGAAGCCACUUAGCUAACCCUUUUGGGAAGCGAGUGUCGAAGGUGAAAUCAAUAACUGGGGUGAAGUCGUAACAAGGUAAC